This 566-nucleotide ribosomal RNA is filed under the name Megasphaera cerevisiae. RNAcentral's name for it is "bacterial SSU rRNA". It matches the Rfam family "Bacterial small subunit ribosomal RNA", at positions 1 to 529 of the family's 1533-position model. The record is from RNAcentral. Lineage: Bacteria; Bacillati; Bacillota; Negativicutes; Veillonellales; Veillonellaceae.
UGUGCUGCAGAGAGUUUGAUCNUGGCUCAGGACGAACGCUGGNGGCGUGCUUAAACACAUGCAANUCGAACGAGAGGACAAGAGAAGCUUGCUUCUUUUGGAAUCGAGUGGCAAACGGGUGAGUAACGCGUAAACAACCUGCCCUCCGGAUGGGGACAACAGCUGGAAACGGCUGCUAAUACCGAAUACGAUCUAAAGGCCGCAUGACCUUUAGAAGAAAAGAUGGCCACUGAAUAUGCUAUCGCCGGAAGAGGGGUUUGCGUCUGAUUAGCUAGUUGGAGGGGUAACGGCCCACCAAGGCAAUGAUCAGUAGCCGGUCUGAGAGGAUGAACGGCCACAUUGGAACUGAGACACGGUCCAGACUCCUACGGGAGGCAGCAGUGGGGAAUCUUCCGCAAUGGGCGAAAGCCUGACGGAGCAACGCCGCGUGAGUGAAGACGGCCUUCGGGUUGUAAAGCUCUGUUAUAUGGGGACGAACGGGGNGUAUGGUCAAUACCCAUACGCCGUGACGGUACCGUAAGAGAAAGCCACGGCUAACUACGUGCCAGCAGCCGCGGUAAUACGUA